UUUUUCUUGCUUUCAGGAUAAAGAGUUUCCCCCCCUAAAAAAGAAAAGGGUAAGUUGACGUUAUUAUUUUAUUUAUUAUGUUAUCCUGACUGAUUUGCCUCUUAUAAAGAUAGGUAAAGAAUCUGUUGAAGCGUGUCUCUAUGAGGCCCUCUUUGUAUGGAGUGUAUGUAAUAUACUCAUCUAAAAAGCAAUUUUUCCCAAAUGCAAUUCAGCAUCAUGACAUGAUUUUGAAAGAAAGUAAAUAAAAGUAAUUUUUUGACAGAAAGGUCAUAUAGGAAAAAUACUGCAGUGAGCAAAAUAGAGAGCCAGGAGAUGCCGAUGGUGACAAUUUUUUUUAUUUUUGAAGAGCAACAAAUUAUGUCUUCUCUUAUUGUCUUAUUAAAAGAUCAAAACAUUAGGAUUCCUUUCUUUGGCCUUCCAAUUUGUGAUUUUAACAGUACAAUAUUUAAGUCUUGAUUUUCAGUUACCUGGGUGGUAACAAUUGCAACAAAUUAAUACAACAAAAGAAUUUGAUUUAUUCCAGCUUUCCAUAGCAACACCAGCAGGAUGACUGAUAUAUCAUUCCAAAUUUCCAGUCAGUAUCAUCGCACUGGGGACUUUGAAUAAUUUUAUUUAAUUUUUAUUUUUACAACUCACACUUAUGGCACAGAGUUGGGCAGUGGGAACUGAAACAAUGUCAUUCUUAGUCUCCUGGGUGGUAACAAAAAGCCAACAGCAGAUCUCUCCUUUCUAUAAGGUCAACGUCUGUUUUACAAGUUCAUCAUUGGAGGGGACACAAUUGCAAGGCGGCCGCCGACGCUGAAUAAUAAAUAAUCUUGAUUUAGUUUGCAACCCAGGACGUCUGGCAUUAGAAGUCAUUAGAGAGUUCAAUGUCUUCUAUUUUAUAGAAAAGAGGUAUUUCAAAGUCUCAGCUUCGAUUAGUUAAAGGAGGGGUAAACCAUUUAUGGUCCUCAACUUUCUUUUUCUUUUUUUUUCCCUAAUGUGAAGGAGGUGGGUUUUUUCUUCCACCAUCUUUUUUUCAUUGCAUACUGGCAGCAUCGAGAUAAAAAUGUUUUCCUAGUUCUUCUCAAAGAAUCGAACAUUUUUGGACAAAUAACUGCCAGGCAGCCUGGUGUUAGGAUGCAUUUCACCCUGUUGGCUGAAUGCAGGGAUCUUAAUGUCGAUUUUCAAUGUGGCAACCUUUCCAGCGUACUAUUUUUAAUG
This is a non-coding RNA of Bemisia tabaci, 1203 nucleotides long. Lineage: Eukaryota; Metazoa; Arthropoda; Insecta; Hemiptera; Aleyrodidae. The record is from RefSeq and is a predicted model, not a curated record.